Molecule: ribosomal RNA, 468 nt
Filed under: uncultured bacterium
Lineage: Bacteria
Description: partial 16S ribosomal RNA
Rfam family: Bacterial small subunit ribosomal RNA
Source: RNAcentral
GACGAACGCUGGCGGCGUGCUUAACACAUGCAAGUCGAACGGAAAGGCCCUGCUUUUGUGGGGUGCUCGAGUGGCGAACGGGUGAGUAACACGUGAGUAACCUGCCCUUGACUUUGGGAUAACUUCAGGAAACUGGGGCUAAUACCGGAUAGGAGCUCCUGCUGCAUGGUGGGGGUUGGAAAGUUUCGGCGGUUGGGGAUGGACUCGCGGCUUAUCAGCUUGUUGGUGGGGUAGUGGCUUACCAAGGCUUUGACGGGUAGCCGGCCUGAGAGGGUGACCGGCCACAUUUGGACUGAGAUACGGCCCAGACUCCUACGGGAGGCAGCAGUGGGGAGUAUUGCACAAUGGGCGGAAGCCUGAUGCAGCAACGCCGCGUGCGGGAUGACGGCCUUCGGGUUGUAAACCGCUUUCGCCUGUGACGAAGCGUGAGUGACGGUAAUGGGUAAAGAAGCACCGGCUAACUACGUG